CCUACGGGAUGCAGCAGUGGGGAAUAUUGCACAAUGGGGGAAACCCUGAUGCAGCAACGCCGCGUGAGCGAAGAAGGCCUUUGGGUCGUAAAGCUCUGUCCUAAGGGAAGAACAAAUGACGGUACCUUAGGAGGAAGCCCCGGCUAACUACGUGCCAGCAGCCGCGGUAAUACGUAGGGGGCAAGCGUUAUCCGGAAUCAUUGGGCGUAAAGGGUGCGUAGGCGGUCAAUAAAGUCAAGGGUGAAAGGCUACGGCUUAACCGUAGUAAGCCUAUGAAACUUAAUGACUUGAGUGCAGGAGAGGUAAGUGGAAUUCCUAGUGUAGCGGUGAAAUGCGUAGAUAUUAGGAGGAACACCAGUGGCGAAGGCGACUUACUGGACUGUAACUGACGCUGAGGCACGAAAGCGUGGGGAGCGAACAGGAUUAGAUACCCCAGUAGUCC
RNAcentral lists this ribosomal RNA (442 nucleotides) under uncultured Bacillota bacterium. RNAcentral describes it as "bacterial SSU rRNA". It matches the Rfam family "Bacterial small subunit ribosomal RNA", at positions 338 to 796 of the family's 1533-position model. Lineage: Bacteria; Bacillati; Bacillota. The record is from RNAcentral.